UUUCCGUAGGUGAACCUGCGGAAGGAUCAUUAAAGACUAAGGGUCUUUGGGCCCGAUGUCCAACCCUUUGUUCAACUACCAUGUUGCUUUGACGGGCCUGUCUCACGACCGCCGGAAGUUUGGCUUAAACCAAACUUCUGGCCCGUGCCCGUCUAUCGCCCCAUCACAUUCUUGUUCAAGUAUGAUGUCUUAGGUAAAAACUUAAUAGUUAAAACUUUCAACAACGGAUCUCUUGGUUCUG
RNAcentral lists this unclassified non-coding RNA (241 nucleotides) under plant metagenome. RNAcentral describes it as "partial contains small subunit ribosomal RNA, internal transcribed spacer 1, and 5.8S ribosomal RNA". The record is from RNAcentral.